UACGAAGGGGGCGAGCGUUGUUCGGAUUUACUGGGCGUAAAGGGCGCGCAGGCGGCGCAUUUUGUCAGGCGUGAAAGCCCCGGGCUCAACCUGGGAACCGCGCUUGAGACUGGAGAACUAGAGUUCGGGAGAGGAUGGUGGAAUUCCCAGUGUAGAGGUGAAAUUCGUAGAUAUUGGGAAGAACACCGAUGGCGAAGGCAGCCAUCUGGACCGACACUGACGCUGAGGCGCGAAAGCGUGGGGAGCAAACAGG
RNAcentral lists this ribosomal RNA (253 nucleotides) under uncultured bacterium. RNAcentral's name for it is "partial 16S ribosomal RNA". It matches the Rfam family "Bacterial small subunit ribosomal RNA", at positions 524 to 776 of the family's 1533-position model. The record is from RNAcentral.